CACAUGCAGUCGAACGAGACCUUCGGGUCUAGUGGCGCACGGGUGCGUAACGCGUGGGAAUCUGCCCUUGGGUACGGAAUAACUCAGAGAAAUUUGUGCUAAUACCGUAUAAUGUCUUCGGACCAAAGAUUUAUCGCCCAAGGAUGAGCCCGCGUAAGAUUAGCUUGUUGGUGAGGUAAAAGCUCACCAAGGCGACGAUCUUUAGCUGGUCUGAGAGGAUGAUCAGCCACACUGGGACUGAGACACGGCCCAGACUCCUACGGGAGGCAGCAGUGGGGAAUAUUGGACAAUGGGCGAAAGCCUGAUCCAGCAAUGCCGCGUGAGUGAUGAAGGCCUUAGGGUUGUAAAGCUCUUUUACCCGGGAUGAUAAUGACAGUACCGGGAGAAUAAGCUCCGGCUAACUCCGUGCCAGCAGCCGCGGUAAUACGGAGGGAGCUAGCGUUGUUCGGAAUUACUGGGCGUAAAGCGCGCGUAGGCGGUUUUUUAAGUCAGAGGUGAAAGCCCAGUGCUCAACACUGGAACUGCCUUUGAAACUGGAAAACUUGAAUCUUGGAGAGGUCAGUGGAAUUCCGAGUGUAG
Molecule: ribosomal RNA, 579 nt
Filed under: bacterium tet-d-34
Lineage: Bacteria
Description: bacterial SSU rRNA
Rfam family: Bacterial small subunit ribosomal RNA
Source: RNAcentral